AUACGGAAGGCCCGGGCGUUAUCCGGAUUUAUUGGGUUUAAAGGGAGCGCAGGCGGAGAUGCAAGCGUGACGUCAAAUUUCGGGGCUCAACCCCGUCUCGCGUCGCGAACUGCGUCCCUUGGUUGCGGGAAGGGGAGGCGGAACUCGUGGUGUAGCGGUGAAAUGCAUAGAUAUCACGAAGAACUCCGAUCGCGAAGGCAGCCUUCCGGCCCGUCAACGACGCUCAUGCUCGAAGGUGCGGGUAUCAAACAGGAUUAGAUACCCUGGUAGUCCGCACAGUAAACGAUGGACACCCGCGGUUUGGCCUGUAUGGCUGAGCCGCCAAGCGAAAGCGUUAAGUGUCCCACCUGGGGAGUACGCCGGCAACGGUGAAACUUAAAGGAAUUGACGGGG
RNAcentral lists this ribosomal RNA (393 nucleotides) under uncultured bacterium. RNAcentral's name for it is "partial 16S ribosomal RNA". It matches the Rfam family "Bacterial small subunit ribosomal RNA", at positions 523 to 918 of the family's 1533-position model. The record is from RNAcentral.